GAUGAACGCUGGCGGCGUGCCUAAUACAUGCAAGUCGAGCGAACAGACGAGGAGCUUGCUCCUCUGACGUUAGCGGCGGACGGGUGAGUAACACGUGGAUAACCUACCUGUAAGACUGGGAUAACUUCGGGAAACCGGAGCUAAUACCGGAUAAUAUAUUGAACCGCAUGGUUCAAUAGUGAAAGACGGUUUUGCUGUCACUUAUAGAUGGAUCCGCGCCGCAUUAGCUAGUUGGUAAGGUAACGGCUUACUAAGGCGACGAUGCGUAGCCGACCUGAGAGGGUGAUUGGCCGCACUGGAGCGGAGACACGGUCCAGACUCCUACGGGAGGCAGCAGUAGGGAAUCUUCCGCAACGGGCGAAAGCAUGACGGAGCAACGCCGAGUGAGUGAUGAAGGUCUUCGGAUCGUAAAACUGUGUUAUUAGGGAAGAACAAAUGUGUAAGUAACUAUGCACGUCUUGACGGUACCUAAUCAGAAAGCAACGGCUAACUACGUG
Molecule: ribosomal RNA, 497 nt
Filed under: uncultured bacterium
Lineage: Bacteria
Description: partial 16S ribosomal RNA
Rfam family: Bacterial small subunit ribosomal RNA
Source: RNAcentral